Molecule: ribosomal RNA, 484 nt
Filed under: uncultured bacterium
Lineage: Bacteria
Description: partial 16S ribosomal RNA
Rfam family: Bacterial small subunit ribosomal RNA
Source: RNAcentral
AUUGAACGCUGGCGGCAGGCCUAACACAUGCAAGUCGAGCGGAUGAAGGGAGCUUGCUCCUGGAUUCAGCGGCGGACGGGUGAGUAAUGCCUAGGAAUCUGCCUGGUAGUGGGGGAUAACGUCCGGAAACGGGCGCUAAUACCGCAUACGUCCUGAGGGAGAAAGUGGGGGAUCUUCGGACCUCACGCUAUCAGAUGAGCCUAGGUCGGAUUAGCUAGUUGGUGGGGUAAAGGCCUACCAAGGCGACGAUCCGUAACUGGUCUGAGAGGAUGAUCAGUCACACUGGAACUGAGACACGGUCCAGACUCCUACGGGAGGCAGCAGUGGGGAAUAUUGGACAAUGGGCGAAAGCCUGAUCGAGCCAUGCCGCGUGUGUGAAGAAGGUCUUCGGAUUGUAAAGCACUUUAAGUUGGGAGGAAGGGAAGUAAGUUAAUACCUUGCUGUUUUGACGGUACCAACAGAAUAAGCACCGGCUAACUUCGUG